RNAcentral lists this long non-coding RNA (859 nucleotides) under Vitis vinifera (wine grape). RNAcentral's name for it is "long non-coding RNA (VVIN_LNC005290)". Lineage: Eukaryota; Viridiplantae; Streptophyta; Magnoliopsida; Vitales; Vitaceae. The record is from RNAcentral.
CAGCUUUUGACCGUUGGAUAAAUUUCAUUUUCAUGAUGUGAUGAUGGAGGGUACAAAAUAGAAUAUCUUAGAGAUAUAGUAACAUAAUCAAACAUGGGAAUCAAGAAAUUGUCUCAAUUUUUAGAAAUGAUUCAAAAAAGAUAUUGUGGUGACAUCGUUAUGGUUAUACUUAUAACCACGUUAAGAUUAGAGAGAGAUUUAGAGAGAGAAAGAGAGGGAGGUAGGUGGAGUUGUGGGGGGUUGUUGUCUUGUUGACGAGGGGAGGGAAAUAAUUGCUAAGGUUUUGAAGGUGAGUUGGGCAUGCAGCUUCCUCUCACCCACACAUCCGCGAGCCCACACUUCUGAGCUACCACCCUUCUCCCACCAUUACCUCCACCUACCUCCCUCCCUCCCCCUCUCUUAUUUAUCUCUCUCCCUCUCUCUCCUCUCUUUAAGUUCCACACCCUUCUCUCUCUCUCUCUCUCUCUCUCUCUCUCUCUCUCUCUCUCUGUGCCACCAUGAUCUCCAUUGAAACCCAAAACCCGGAUGUUUCCAACCUUGACACUAGUCACUCUAUCCCCAAAAUGGCCAAUCGAAUUGACGACCAUGUUUUCAGAUCAAAACUCCCUGAAAUUCCCAUCUCCAACCACCUCCCUCUCCACACCUACUGCUUUGAAAACUACUCCCAAUUCGCCGAUCGUCCAUGCUUGAUCGUCGGAUCCACCAACAAAACCUACUCCUUUGCAGAAACCCACCUCAUUUCUCGCAAAGUCGGAGCUGGGUUCGCCCACCUCGGCCUCAAACAGGGAGACGUCGUCAUGAUCCUCCUCCAGAACUGCGCCGAAUUCGCGUUCUCCUUUCUCGGAGCUUCCAUGGUCGG